GUACAGUUGUGCCAAGUGAGUGCUGGGCACCUGGCAGGCAAGCAAAAUGCUAAGGUGGCAUGUCAUGGCUGUCAGUGUGGCUCCUGUUCAGAGCUUGGAUCCAGCACUGGCUUCUUAAGAUUGGGCAAAUUACACAUAAAGGGAUGGGCAAGCUCUGCCUGACCAGAAUAGUGUUCACUGAAUUCUGGAGCAUUCUCAAACCUACUGCACAAAACCACCAUAGCAGGAGAGAGAGAGAGAGAGAGCUGGUUGGAGGAAGUGCAGGGCGGGAGCUGGGAAGUGGUUUCUUUGUUCUGGGAGAUUUCAGCCGGCAGGAACCGCAAAUUUUACUGUCUCCAAACCAAAAGCCCUCCCCCCUCCCCCAUUACCUCUUUCCUUUACAACCUGGGAAUUCAUUCGCUGCCUCCCUCGGCCUCUUCCUCUGCCUAGAGCAGUCUCCAGGGACAGAUCUCUUUGUUGAGUACUCUUCGAGACAAUUCAGAGUUGCAAAGUUCCCGGGUCACAGCCAGGGCUGUUCUCUGAAGAUAGUGGUCUCUCGGGUACAGACCCCCACCUGUGGAUCUGUCCCUUCCUGGGGUAUCUUUCAAGGGACAGAAGAGAAGAUGUUAAUUUGGAUGGAAUUUUUAUCCUUUGGAAAUUCACAGGUGGAAGGAAGACUUUUGAACUGUAUGUCACCGGCUCUGUGCCCAUGGGAGUGAAGCUGUUCGUGGAAGUGUGCACCCAGGAGUCUUUGGUGUUGACCAAUAUCCCAUACCGUGAAGUCAUCAGUGCUGGCCUCGAAGUCUCAUGAUCAGAUACUCUCAUGCACAAAACCAAUGUCUUCCCAAGUCCCUGUGGAUCAUAUGCUUCUGGCUAUGACAUAUUCUAUAAAGCUGUGGGGUGCACUUUGAGGCUACUGCUUAAGUGAUACUCAUUUGGAACAAAAGUAGGGGAGAAGAGAGAACCCUGAGGAUGGAAGCAUGUCUCAAAACAAUAAAAGGAAGAGAAAGAAAGCUGAGAAUCCCUGGGAUCUGCAAGAAGAAGGGAGAAGUCACAGUAAGUGUGCUGUCCAGAUCCCAGACCCUGCGUCUCCUCCAGAACCUGCCAAUGCCAUCGAUUUCUAUUAAUCUGAUGGAGCAUUCAUUACCCCAACAACCAACCUGCCACUGUUUGCUUAGCUUGCAUGAAAUCAGAGCUCCACAAAAAUCAAUGUGUGAAAUCUUUGUAUCAACAUAUAAGAAAUCCAAAGGUUUGUGCUGGUGGUAGCAGGAUUUUAGACAGAUUAAAACUGACAAACUGGCAUGUUCCGUGGUGGUGGCAAUGAUGAGGUGUGGCACCGUGUCAAAGGUUUGGAAAACAGCCUGCUAAGAAAGAAACGAAUGACUGUUGCAGGGGAGGGAGAAUGAUGCAUCUGGAUUAUUGAGAGGACAUUUGGAUGAUGUUCUGAUGGCUUAUGUUUCAGAAGCGACUUGAAAUCAGUAGGGAGAUUUCAAGCUCUGGCAGAGCACAGCUGUCCCCUAGGAACUCAUGAGUAAAGAUGAGCGGUUAAUGGCUUGAGCAAGGUCACCGUGGGCAGAGGUUAUGCCAGGACAAAAUGGUGGAACCUUGGUACGUACUUUCAGCAGUCACUGAACAUGCCACAGGCAGAGGACUCACGUCUUAUUGGUCCCAUAGCCUCUUAUCCCAAAAAGUGAGAGUGGGGACUCUUUCCAUUCAAACAUCUAGACGCCUGUGUGAGGAUCUUGCUUCCUCAGGAGCCUAAGGAGGGUGCAGGACUAGAAGUUCCACACGGCUAACUCUGUGCACUUCAAUUUGUAAGACACGUCUUCACCCUGACCUCAAGAGUCCUGUAAACAAAGGCAAUGGCUAACGUAAUGAAGAAGAAAAAACCCCUUUGAAAAGCCUCCUCUCAGCAUCGAAGCACAGCAUUCCAAAACCGUGACAGAAUUUUUUUUUUUUUAAUUUUGAUUCCCAUGUCUCACAACAUACUGUAGGCCAUCUGCUUCCAAUAUCAGGGGCCGUGGAGUGUAUGCUUCAGGAAUGAAACUCUUCCUUUAAGAAUAGUAGCCAAGAAAGGUAACUAGCUUGCUCAGGAGGGAAAAUAAAUCCCCAGCAAAAAGUCAACAGUGGGCCUGGGGAUGUAGCACUGUAGCUGAAUGCUGCAAUGAACACCACUCACUAGUGCUGAAAAUAAAAGCCGACAGUACACAUGUGUCAAAAUCAAACUGAAAUAAACUGGGGUGAAGCAUGGAAGACGAUGUAGAGGAAAGAGGCAAAGCAAUGGACUCAGGCUUGAGUUUGAAUCUUAUACCUGGCACACACUGGUUGUAUAUUAAUCAGUGUAGGACUCUAGAGGAGUUUUUUUUCUUCAUUUGUAUUUGGUGAGAAAAAAGGUAUGAAAGGUCUAACACUUUGUCUAAGACACAGUCAGUAGACUGUGUGUGUUUUUCUAUCAGAUCAUUUGUCUAUGCCCACUUCUCUAAAAAUGUACAUUCUAGAAACAAGAUGGUUGGAAACACAUUGACUAUCAAUGGAUGCAUGGUACAUCCAAGCCAAAACUUUUCACUUCCCAGAGUAAUAGGGCACAGCUGAGUAAGUACAGCUGACAAAGGUCUGUUGUCACUUGUCACUGUCACUUGACGGGGUGAGUUGUCAUUUGCCAUUGGCUGACAGACCAGCAAACCCUUGUCUGGUUGGUUCCUUUUGUGAUGGGUGUCAGUUUGGUUACCUGUCUACCAACACAAUAAAAAUCACCAGCAAACUUAGUAAUGUAACCAAGCUUGUUUACAAAUUUGUAAUUUGGGUAGGACUUAGACAGGAAACCUUACCUCAGUUCUGUUCUGUGCCACACAGGACUCAUCAACUAAAUGCAUAAAUUUAGUCCUGCUCCAUCAUGUCUUCCUCAGAUAGUUAGUAACAUGGCAAUCUAUAUCGACAGGGAGCUCAGCUGAAGCCCAUUUCUUUCAGCAUGGUCCUGUCUAUGUGGAUAGCUAGUUUUUCUACAGUGUAACAGCAAGCUUACAAUGGCCACAUCUUGAGACAAAGAGAACCAGGUAUACUUGUAUUGCUGUCUCUGACCUGCCCUUGAAGGUCAUAGUACCCUUUGGUCAUACACCAUAAGUUGAAGCAGUCACAAAGGCUUGCCCGGGUUCAUGAGAGAAGACAUAGGCUCCACCUUUUAUGGGAAACUACAUGUUUCUGGAGGACUGACCACGGGAAAUGUUUCUGUACAAUGCCGAUGGGCAUGUAAUCUGCCAUGCCUCUGAUUAGCACUUAACCCAAAGCUUUAUUGCUACCUUCCCAGAGCCGGGGCUUGCUUCCUCCUCUUCAUUUGGUUUUCCAGUUGAUCUCUUCUUACACCCUAGAAUAGUGAAUUCCAAUCUAAAAGUGGGAAAGAAAAUUAUGACCAUACCCCUAUCCUGUUUUUUUGUUUUUGUUUUUGUUUUCUGUCAACUUGACAAAACUGGAGUCAUCUGGGAAGAAGAACCUCAUUUGGCAAAAUUCCUUCAUUCAGAUUCCCAUAGGCAUGUUGGUGGGGCAUUUCCUUGAUUCAUGAUUGAAAUGUAAGGGCCAAAUCCACUAGUGGAUGUGGUAGCGACACUCAUGAUGGGUGGUUAUAGUCAGUAUAAGAAUGUGGUCCAAGGAAGCCAUGGGGAACAGUCUUUCUUCAUGUUCUCUGCUUCUGUUCCUACUUCCAGAUUCCUGUCUUUAGUUGUUGUUCUUACUUCACUCAGUAAUGCACUGUGACAUGGAACUGAAAGACAAAUAAACCCUUUCCUCCCCAAGAUGCUCUUGGACAUAGUAUUAAUCACAGCAAUGGAAAGCCAACUAAGACAACCCCAAUCUCAACUUCUUUCUAAAACCUUCUAUGACUUCUAAUGUACAUUGGAAUAAACUUUAAACCUCUUAAUCCAAGUACUCAGUGGUCCCAUGUUUUAUGAUAUGGAUGCAACUUUGAAGCCCGUGCUCAUCUAAGCCAACAUAUGCAUACUAACAGCUCAGUGAAUUGUAUUGUAUUUUGCAGAGGUAAAUUCGUGAGACCAAAAAGCCACAGUCCUCCUAUGCUUCAGAGCCCAUCAGACCAUGGUUAAAGUCACAACUCUACAUUAAGCUUCUAAAAAUGAGUCUAGAAGCUCUGUGUUGAAAUUGCUGAGAGGAUUGACUAAAAUAAUGCACACAAUACCUGGUACAGAGUGGACUUUCAAUAAACAUGAUUAUCUCUCUCCUUUUUUCUAUUUUGUCAUCUGUAUUUGGGGAAAUCCUUUCCUAGCAGGCUCUGGAUUGGAUUCCCAGACCAGAGCCCCUGUGUGCCUCUAGCAGUCCAUGCAGGAGCUUUCAGGGUGAUGAAGCCUGUGAAACCCUCUGGCUUCAUUUCACUAGCCACAGAAACCCACAUCAUGACUUGGCAGCAUGGAAGCACAGGCUGUAUUUCCCACAAUCCUUUAGUCUGGGCACCUUAACCAGCUUAUCAUUUGGCCACAAGAAGUGCUGCAUGCCUUUGGAAAUAAUUGUGGCCUUGUGGUUUGCAUUCCACAGAUCCACACUGGGUUGGGCAAAUGUCAAAAGCUCUUUUGCCACAGUCCAUAUGAGCACCCAGUGGUUUCCCUCUCUGGCUCCUGAGUGUUUAAAGCUUAUUUAAAAGUUUCCCACCAAUUCUAGAAUCCUUUCUUGCUACUUCUGCUAUUCUGCCAUAUCAGUACACUUAUUAAUUCAUUUAAAUGUAUUCCUUUCAAAUUGGAUUUCCAUUUAGUAGAUGAUUUACUUAAUCAAUAGGAAGUGUCCAAAAAUUGCAACAGCCCCAUUUCCAAUAAUUUAUGGGGUCUUGAAAGGUCAUUUAUCCCAUAUAAAUCAGAAGCAACAGGUUCAUGGCAAGCAAGUCAAGUCAUUAGAUUUAACAUUUCCAGAAGUUAUAUGUACUGACAAUUGUUCAACAUCACAGCACACUCAAGUUUUAAUGGUGUUAUACCAAAGUGACUCUUCACUCUAUUGCUUUAAUGCAUCUCCUGGAAUCACAUAAGCCAUCUAUCCACCCAUGGUCUCUCCUGUGACAGGCUGUUACAGGAAUAUGAGACACCAUGGCUUAUGGAGACAGACAGUGUGGGUUCUCACUUUCAAAGGCCCAAAUGACAUCCCUGAAGGAGGUGGGGACUAAGAAUGGCAGCUUACCUUGUCUUCUUCCCCAAGUCACAAUCUCUCUCUUCUUCCAUAAAACCUUUCCUAAUCUAACUCCAUUUGAUUUGCUCUGUUCACUCCUGAAUAUGAUCGUUUAAACCUUUAUUUAGCUUCUCCUAUUUGACUGCUCAUUCAUUAUUACUUGUCAUUUACUUUUUAUUUUACUAAUCCUGUGAAAGUAUUAUUCUUCUGUUUCCAAAAUGAUAACACUGAAGCUCAGUGAGAGUGAGCUUACCUAAGCUUGAAUAGUGAAUAGAGUUCAGGUCUGGGCUGGGCAGCAGAACUAUCUGUCUCCAAAAAUUCCCAAGACCACCUCCCUGCCUAUCCCAGUUUCUUCUUGUCUUGCUAACCAAAUGCUCUAACUGGUUUCACAUUUAUAGUGACUGAAAACUUGACCUUGUCUGUAGUUUUCCAUGGGCCUUUGUGCUCCUUUUCUUCUGCACUGGCUUCUGCUAUUUGUUACACUAAGGUCGAAAAAGACAGAACACACAUGGUUAGUGAUCCCUGCAAAGCCACUUUUGUAUAUUAGAAGGGACAGAAAACCUGUACUCUCAUAAUUUGAGGGCCAACCCAUGACUUCUUUUCUUACAUAUGUGGCCUUCCUUUGAUUGAGCUUUCUUUAUCUUUAAAAAGUGAGAGUUAUAAAGCCUGGCAUAAUGACACAUGGCAGGAGAAUUCUAGCACUUCUGAGGAGGCAAUGGCAAGAAGAGCAGGAGUUCAAGGCCAUCCUUGGCUACAUAGUAACCUUAGGACCAGCCUGGGCUACCGGAGCUGGUAUUUUAAAAGCACAACAGGUAUAAUCCUAGGUAAAGCACCACAAAAACAUUUCCAGUCAGCUUUCCAGUCCCCUCUCAGAGCAUAUUAUUCUCAGAAAUGGAUACGUCACAUAUACUGACUUCAGAGUCCUGGGAUAAUAGUGCCCCCCAAAAGUACUUUUAGUCCCAGCAAAGCAACCUCAGAGCAGCUUGGUGUUCUGGCCUGAGUUCCUGCUGGGUGGUAAGAGCCAAUCAGCAAAAGCCUAGAGCUGUUCCUCCCCUGAACAAUGGAAACGUGG
RNAcentral lists this long non-coding RNA (6205 nucleotides) under Cricetulus griseus (Chinese hamster). RNAcentral's name for it is "lncRNA (ENSCGRG00015040798.1)". The record is from RNAcentral. Lineage: Eukaryota; Metazoa; Chordata; Mammalia; Rodentia; Cricetidae.